RNAcentral lists this ribosomal RNA (494 nucleotides) under uncultured bacterium. Its description in RNAcentral is "partial 16S ribosomal RNA". It matches the Rfam family "Bacterial small subunit ribosomal RNA", at positions 28 to 507 of the family's 1533-position model. The record is from RNAcentral.
GACGAACGCUGGCGGCGUGCUUAACACAUGCAAGUCGAACGGAAAGGCCUGCUUUCCCUUGUGGAUUGCGGGUACUCGAGUGGCGAACGGGUGAGUAACACGUGAGUGAUCUGCCCCCAACUUGGGUAUAAGCCUGGGAAACUGGGUCUAAUUCCCGAUAGGACUGCAGGGUGGUGCCUGUGGUGGAAAACGAUUUUCUAGUGGUUGGGGAUGAGCUCGCGGGCUAUCAGCUUGUUGGUGGGGUAAUGGCUUACCAAGGCGGGGACGGGAAGCCGGCCCGGGGGAGUCGGCGGGCGCGGUGGGACUGCGACACUGCCAAGGCGACAACGGGAAGAAGCCGUGGGGAGUAAGGAGCGAGGGACAGAGGCCUAAGGGCGCGAGGCCGAGUGAGCGAUGACGGCCUUCGGAUUGUAGACUCCUUUCGGCCGCGAGGAAGCCACCUGGUUGGAGGGGUGGUGACGGUAGUGGUAGAAGAAGCACCGGCUAACUACGUG